RNAcentral lists this ribosomal RNA (2003 nucleotides) under Enterococcus faecalis M7. RNAcentral's name for it is "bacterial LSU rRNA". It matches the Rfam family "Bacterial large subunit ribosomal RNA", at positions 1 to 2018 of the family's 2925-position model. The record is from RNAcentral. Lineage: Bacteria; Bacillati; Bacillota; Bacilli; Lactobacillales; Enterococcaceae.
UUAAGUGAAUAAGGGCGCACGGUGGAUGCCUUGGCACUAGGAGCCGAUGAAGGACGGGACUAACACCGAUAUGCUUUGGGGAGCUGUAAGUAAGCUAUGAUCCAGAGAUUUCCGAAUGGGGGAACCCAAUAUCUUUUAUAGGAUAUUACUUUUCAGUGAAUACAUAGCUGAUUAGAGGUAGACGCAGAGAACUGAAACAUCUUAGUACCUGCAGGAAGAGAAAGAAAAUUCGAUUCCCUGAGUAGCGGCGAGCGAAACGGGAAGAGCCCAAACCAACAAGCUUGCUUGUUGGGGUUGUAGGACUCCAAUAUGGUAGUCUGUUAGUAUAGUUGAAGGAUUUGGAAAAUUCCGCUAAAGAGGGUGAAAGCCCCGUAGACGAAAUGCUGACAACACCUAGGAGGAUCCUGAGUACGGCGGAACACGAGAAAUUCCGUCGGAAUCCGCGGGGACCAUCCCGCAAGGCUAAAUACUCCCUAGUGACCGAUAGUGAACCAGUACCGUGAGGGAAAGGUGAAAAGCACCCCGGAAGGGGAGUGAAAUAGAUCCUGAAACCGUGUGCCUACAACAAGUCAAAGCUCGUUAAUGAGUGAUGGCGUGCCUUUUGUAGAAUGAACCGGCGAGUUACGAUUGCAUGCGAGGUUAAGUCGAAGAGACGGAGCCGCAGCGAAAGCGAGUCUGAAUAGGGCGAAUGAGUAUGUAGUCGUAGACCCGAAACCAUGUGAUCUACCCAUGUCCAGGUUGAAGGUGCGGUAAAACGCACUGGAGGACCGAACCCACGUACGUUGAAAAGUGCGGGGAUGAGGUGUGGGUAGCGGAGAAAUUCCAAACGAACUUGGAGAUAGCUGGUUCUCUCCGAAAUAGCUUUAGGGCUAGCCUCGGAAUUGAGAAUGAUGGAGGUAGAGCACUGUUUGGACUAGGGGCCCAUCUCGGGUUACCGAAUUCAGAUAAACUCCGAAUGCCAUUCAUUUAUAUCCGGGAGUCAGACUGCGAGUGAUAAGAUCCGUAGUCGAAAGGGAAACAGCCCAGACCACCAGCUAAGGUCCCAAAAUAUAUGUUAAGUGGAAAAGGAUGUGGGGUUGCACAGACAACUAGGAUGUUGGCUUAGAAGCAGCCACCAUUUAAAGAGUGCGUAAUAGCUCACUAGUCGAGUGACCCUGCGCCGAAAAUGUACCGGGGCUAAACAUAUUACCGAAGCUGUGGACUACACCAUUAGGUGUAGUGGUAGGAGAGCGUUCUAAGGGCGUUGAAGGUCGAUCGUGAGGACGGCUGGAGCGCUUAGAAGUGAGAAUGCCGGUAUGAGUAGCGAAAGACAGGUGAGAAUCCUGUCCACCGUAUGACUAAGGUUUCCUGGGGAAGGCUCGUCCGCCCAGGGUUAGUCGGGACCUAAGCCGAGGCCGAUAGGCGUAGGCGAUGGACAACAGGUUGAUAUUCCUGUACCAGUUGUUUUUGUUUGAGCAAUGGAGGGACGCAGUAGGCUAAGGAAUGCAUGCGAUUGGAAGUGCAUGUCCAAGCAAUGAGUCUUGAGUAGAGUUAAAUGCUUUACUCUUUAAGGACAAGUUGUGACGGGGAGCGAAAUAAUAGUAGCGAAGUUCCUGACGUCACACUGCCAAGAAAAGCUUCUAGUGAGAAAACAACUGCCCGUACCGUAAACCGACACAGGUAGUCGAGGAGAGUAUCCUAAGGUGAGCGAGCGAACUCUCGUUAAGGAACUCGGCAAAAUGACCCCGUAACUUCGGGAGAAGGGGUGCUGACUUCGGUCAGCCGCAGUGAAUAGGCCCAAGCGACUGUUUAUCAAAAACACAGGUCUCUGCAAAAUCGUAAGAUGAAGUAUAGGGGCUGACGCCUGCCCGGUGCUGGAAGGUUAAGAGGAUGGGUUAGCUUCGGCGAAGCUCAGAAUUGAAGCCCCAGUAAACGGCGGCCGUAACUAUAACGGUCCUAAGGUAGCGAAAUUCCUUGUCGGGUAAGUUCCGACCCGCACGAAAGGCGUAACGAUUUGGGCACUG